Molecule: long non-coding RNA, 2081 nt
Organism: Anguilla rostrata (American eel)
Lineage: Eukaryota; Metazoa; Chordata; Actinopteri; Anguilliformes; Anguillidae
Exons: 2
Source: RefSeq, a predicted model, not a curated record
ACUUAGACCUUGCAACACAUAACCAAUCAAAAUUACACACUUAGACCUUACAACACAUAACACAUUAUGUGUUUCGUGAAUGAGGCCCAGUAUCUUUAGGCGAAUGUAGAAAUUGCUUAUACUGCUGACACAAUUUAGAGGCAGCCCGAAACUGACAGGAUCUUUUGUCUUUUAAAAAGACAGACCAUCAAAUUAAGCAGAUUAUUUUGGAUAGCCAAAAACCCCACUUGAAUAAUUAACCACAGUGAUAGUCUACAAAUCAACUUGAGCUUUACAUGUUUUAGGACCAAAUGUACAAAUUUACAGAGUGUACGAGACUCCAGUACAAUAAAGGUGACAAGCUCAUCUGAAAUACUGCGUUUGCUUUAACAACUUUGUUGCUUCUCCUGGGGGACAUAACAACAUUUUUUAUCUUAAGUCCCAUCAGGGUAAAUCUAACCAACGUUCCAAGGUUACAGACAAAAGACUGAUGCCUUUGGCUCUGUGAUAACUGAUUUUUCUGGGAUGUUUGUUAAAUUUCAAGGAGGAAAAAAAGAGCACUUGAAUUCAAAGCACAAAGGUAAAUCAAAAAAGUUGCCUGUGGUUUGAGAACGCGUCUUUUUGAAGAGCACAACAAUCCUUCUGACGCCGCGGGAUGUGCACUUAAUGUCUGUCGCGCUCUUUUGUUUAAUCAGAACAUCCGAGGAGAAGCAGCCGUAUUCUCUGAUUAACAUUAGGCGGAUCGCGCUGGUUCCAAUGGCCGGGCGAUUCCGAGGGCUCCCAGGCACCGCUGCGGUACCGCGUGCAGACAGCCCCAUAAAAUAUUCAUGCACCUGACAAUGAGACGCGCUGCCGAUUUUCCCCACGCAUGUACUUGCUCUCACGAUCCCACAAGAAAGACGUGAGAAACGGACGGCUGAGCAACGAGAGAGACCCUUUGGCCACAAACCGCCGUUAUAAUGCACCUGACAUCGCAGUCCGCCCGGCAGCGAAGACCGCAGCUAGGUUGCUACAGGCAACCGGCUCGCUCAGGGUCCGUUUGGGAAGGAGACGCGCCCGUCUGUGGUCUUGGCUGUGCCUUUGUGUGUGCGUGGAAGAGCAGGCAGGAAGUCAACGGAGAUGUACUCAGGAAGUAAAUGGAGAUGUAUUCAGGAAGUAAAUGGAGAUGUACUCUGGAAGUGAAUGGAGAUGUACUCAGGAAGUAAACAUGGAUGUACUCAGGAAGUGAAUGGAGAUGUACUCAGGAGAUAAAUGGAGAUGUACUCAGGAAGUAGACUGAGAUGUAUUUUGGAACUAAAUGGAGAGUUCCUCAGUAGCCCCACCCAGCACAGUCAGGAGACCAUACCGGACCACGGGGCACAUCAUACAGCUAAACCCAGUGUCUUCUCAGGAUGAGCCAUCUUUUAAACUUUGAUUUCUCAUAUUAAAAGCCAACAGAUCAAACUGAGCUCACUUUCAUGCUGAGCAAUGCAGGUGGCUUUUAUGCAUAAACCUUUGAAUCUUCCUUCAAGGGCAUGCCAGCUCCCAAGAGGAAAAGAGUGCCAGCGUACUGCAGUCUAAUCCCUGAUCAGGGUCAACGUUUUGACUUCACCAGUUGACACCAAUUAAAAUUGAAACACGCCUGAUGAUCUGCUAAGAUCAUAAGUCAAGUACAUGGACUGUGCUCCAAUCAUCCAGUAGCAUACCACCGGUUUAAAUCCUUGUGAUGAAACAAAUUCACUUUCACAGAUCUAAACAAAGAAGAGCUUUGAUAUUAAAUCAGUCACAAAAUGCAAAUGUUCUGAAGUUGUGUAGAGCUGCAAGUUAACUUCACAAGUUUGGGGUGAUUUUCUGCUGGCAGUUAAAUGCUUUCUUCUUGUUCCUGACUAUGAUAAACACAUGAAUCUUUUUUUAUAGGGCUCGAAAAUGUCAAUGUUAUUCAUUUGAUGUGAAACGUAUUACCCAGACAGGAUAGAUCACAAAAAAUAAUAGUGGUAUUGCUAACCAUCAAGACAAGUGGGAUAAGUCAUAUACCACUCAGUUCUACUUGUAACAUGUUUUGAAAGUUGGGUAAUCUGAGUUUUUCCACAGCUGGUUUGAAUUUAAAAGAUCCUUUUUCUGUU